GCGCCCUUAGCUCAGCUGGAUAGAGCGUUGGCCUCCGGAGCCAAAGGUCAGAGGUUCGAGUCCUCUAGGGCGCGCCA
Molecule: transfer RNA, 77 nt
Filed under: Gammaproteobacteria bacterium
Lineage: Bacteria; Pseudomonadati; Pseudomonadota; Gammaproteobacteria
Also listed under: 2 other names
Description: tRNA-Arg
Rfam family: tRNA
About the family: Transfer RNA (tRNA) molecules are approximately 80 nucleotides in length. Their secondary structure includes four short double-helical elements and three loops (D, anti-codon, and T loops). Further hydrogen bonds mediate the characteristic L-shaped molecular structure. tRNAs have two regions of fundamental functional importance: the anti-codon, which is responsible for specific mRNA codon recognition, and the 3' end, to which the tRNAs corresponding amino acid is attached (by aminoacyl-tRNA synthetases). tRNAs cope with the degeneracy of the genetic code in two manners: having more than one tRNA (with a specific anti-codon) for a particular amino acid; and 'wobble' base-pairing, i.e. permitting non-standard base-pairing at the 3rd anti-codon position.
Source: RNAcentral